This 424-nucleotide ribosomal RNA is filed under the name uncultured bacterium. RNAcentral's name for it is "bacterial SSU rRNA". It matches the Rfam family "Bacterial small subunit ribosomal RNA", at positions 917 to 1341 of the family's 1533-position model. The record is from RNAcentral.
GGGCCCGCACAAGCGGUGGAGCAUGUGGUUUAAUUCGAUGCAACGCGAAGAACCUUACCUGCCCUUGACAUCCUCGGAAGGGACCGGAAACGGACCCGUGCCUUCGGGAACCGAGAGACAGGUGCUGCAUGGCUGUCGUCAGCUCGUGUCGUGAGAUGUUGGGUUAAGUCCCGCAACGAGCGCAACCCUUAUCGUUAGUUACUAACAGUUCGGCUGAGGACUCUAGCGAAACUGCCGGUGAUAAGCCGGAGGAAGGUGGGGACGACGUCAAGUCAUCAUGCCCCUUAUGUCCAGGGCUGCACGCAUGCUACAAUGGCAAGUACAACGAGUCGCAAUACCGCGAGGUGGAGCAAAUCUCUUAAAGCUUGUCUCAGUUCGGAUAGGAGUCUGCAACUCGACUCCUUGAAGUUGGAGUCGCUAGUAA